RNAcentral lists this ribosomal RNA (492 nucleotides) under uncultured bacterium. RNAcentral's name for it is "partial 16S ribosomal RNA". It matches the Rfam family "Bacterial small subunit ribosomal RNA", at positions 29 to 507 of the family's 1533-position model. The record is from RNAcentral.
AGUGAACGCUGGCGGUAGGCCUAACACAUGCAAGUCGAACGGCAGCACAGUAAGAGCUUGCUCUUACGGGUGGCGAGUGGCGGACGGGUGAGGAAUACAUCGGAAUCUACUUUUUCGUGGGGGAUAACGUAGGGAAACUUACGCUAAUACCGCAUACGACCUACGGGUGAAAGCAGGGGAUCUUCGGACCUUGCGCGAUUGAAUGAGCCGAUGUCGGAUUAGCUAGUUGGCGGGGUAAAGGCCCACCAAGGCGACGAUCCGUAGCUGGUCUGAGAGGAUGAUCAGCCACACUGGCACUGAGACACGGUCCAGACUCCUACGGGAGGCAGCAGUGGGGAAUAUUGGACAAUGGGCGCAAGCCUGAUCCAGCCAUACCGCGUGGGUGAAGAAGGCCUUCGGGUUGUAAAGCCCUUUUGUUGGGAAAGAAGAGCAGCAGGUUAAUACCCCGCUGUUCUGACGGUACCCAAAGAAUAAGCACCGGCUAACUUCGUG